RNAcentral lists this ribosomal RNA (253 nucleotides) under uncultured bacterium. Its description in RNAcentral is "partial 16S ribosomal RNA". It matches the Rfam family "Bacterial small subunit ribosomal RNA", at positions 524 to 776 of the family's 1533-position model. The record is from RNAcentral.
CACGUAGGGGGCGAGCGUUGUCCGGAUUCAUUGGGCGUAAAGCGCGCGUAGGCGGCUCGGAAAGUCGGUCGUGAAAUGCCGGGGCUCAACCCCGGGACUGCGUCCGAUACUCCCGAGCUGGAGGCAGGUAGGGGAGAUCGGAAUUCCUGGUGUAGCGGUGAAAUGCGCAGAUAUCAGGAGGAACACCGGUGGCGAAGGCGGAUCUCUGGGCCGUGACUGACGCUGAGGCGCGAAAGCGUGGGGAGCAAACAGG